This is an RNA transcript of Camellia sinensis, 1456 nucleotides long. RefSeq lists it as uncharacterized. Lineage: Eukaryota; Viridiplantae; Streptophyta; Magnoliopsida; Ericales; Theaceae. The record is from RefSeq and is a predicted model, not a curated record.
UUUUUCCCCCCUCAACCAAAAAUCCCCAAAUCUCAAUUCCCUAUUCUUUUGAACCAAAAAUCCCCAUCUCUCUCUCUCUCUCUCUCUCUCACUCUCACGACUGUGAGCAGGGCAAACGAUGGCUUUGAGCGACAACGAGCAGCGAGUAGCAUGAGACCUAUAUUCAUCAUUAAUCUGGUUCGUUAGUUAUAUCUGCUUCUUGUACAUGUACAGGCGAGGUCGUUAGAAUCCGACUUUUUUGUGAGUUCGAUUCAUCGUCUCUCUCUCUCUCUCUUGGACUGGGUUGUGGUGGGUGUUGGACUGUGAGUUUGCUACAUGGGUUAUGGUGGGUGUCCUCAUUCUUGGACUGGUUUUUCCAAACAAGCUUUUGUUGGGCUUUGGGAUUUCUUCAAACUGUCUGUGGCUUCUGGGGUCAAGCUCUCGUUGGAGAAUUUUUAUUAUAGAGUGUUGAUUAUAAUCUCAGGGAAUAUGAAUAAUGCUGAAGUUGCUCUUGAUGCCCUAUCCAUCUGGUUGGAUCUGUUGUGCUUUGGUUUGUUUAUUUAUCUUCAUUGCAAAUUGAACUGUUUUUCUUAUUCUGAACAUUUUAAUUUGUUCUUUUUUUUACAGCAUUACGAUCUAUAUUUUCUUCUUUUUUUUCUUGUUCUAAACAUUUUUCUUCUUCUUCUUUUGUUUUUGUUUUUUUUUUUGUUGCCAUUUUGCAAUUUAUAUUUUCUUGGAUUGUAACUACUUUUUUCAAUUAGUUACUUCAGCAAGAAGAUGUUCCUUAAUUACUAAUAUUGUUGACUUGAGUUAUCCUUAAUUUUUUAAAAAAUAAAAUAAUAAAAUGAUUCAAUGAAUUUUGCAAGUCAUGAUAAGAUUAAAAAAAUGUUUUGCUUCCCUGAUGUAUCUAAGCAUCAUAGGUAAAUAAAGAUUUUCAACUUUCUAAUGCUCUUGAUGGUCUAUUUCUAAUUUAUGAUUGGACUUUCUAUCCUAACUCAUAGGGUUUAUGUGGGAAAUCUUUCGGGGGCUGUUGAUGAUUAAGCCCUUGAAACCUUAUUUAGUGAGCAAGGUAAGGUUAUGGAAGCCAAGUUUGUUUAUGACAAAGACAGUGGUAGAUCAAGGGGUUUGGGGUUUGUGACCUUUGGUUCCUCAGAUGAGGUCAACAAUGCAAUUGAAUCAUUGGAUGGUGUUGACCUAAAUGGCAGGUCAAUCCGAGUAAGCAUGGCUGAAGCUAGGCCAAGGUGUCAAUUUUGAUCAUUGAACCUUUUGAGCUUUCUUCAACUAAGAACACACUCGGGGUACAUAUUUAAUGAAUUUGCAUUUAAAUUGUUUGUAAUCCUCCUACAUCUUGAAAAUUGUACUUUAGGCAAUUGUCUUGGUGUUUUUUGGCUUUAAAGAGAUCCAAAACAUGUAAACAUGUUGCAAGAGGUUUCCCAUAUAGAUUAUCAUUUCAAAUAAAAUACUUUAUUUUCCUUUA